This 77-nucleotide transfer RNA is filed under the name Acidobacteriota bacterium. RNAcentral describes it as "Acidobacteria bacterium tRNA-Arg". It matches the Rfam family "tRNA". Rfam says of the family: Transfer RNA (tRNA) molecules are approximately 80 nucleotides in length. Their secondary structure includes four short double-helical elements and three loops (D, anti-codon, and T loops). The record is from RNAcentral. RNAcentral also lists the same sequence under 2 other names. Lineage: Bacteria; Pseudomonadati; Acidobacteriota.
GGGCCUGUAGCUCAGGUGGAUAGAGCAACGGAUUCCUAAUCCGUGUGCCGGCAGUUCAAGUCUGCCCAGGCCCACCA